Molecule: ribosomal RNA, 578 nt
Filed under: uncultured bacterium
Lineage: Bacteria
Description: bacterial SSU rRNA
Rfam family: Bacterial small subunit ribosomal RNA
Source: RNAcentral
AAUUCGAUGCAACGCGAAGAACCUUACCUGGCCUUGACAUAGUAGAGACUUUCCAGAGAUGGGUUGGUGCCUUCGGGAAUCUACAUACAGGUGCUGCAUGGCUGUCGUCAGCUCGUGUCGUGAGAUGUUGGGUUAAGUCCCGCAACGAGCGCAACCCUUUUCCUUACUUGCCAGCAUUUCGGAUGGGAACUUUAAGGAUACUGCCAGUGACAAACUGGAGGAAGGCGGGGACGACGUCAAGUCAUCAUGGCCCUUACGGCCAGGGCUACACACGUGCUACAAUGGUCGGUACAAAGGGUUGCUACACAGCGAUGUGAUGCUAAUCUCAAAAAGCCGAUCGUAGUCCGGAUCGCAGUCUGCAACUCGACUGCGUGAAGUCGGAAUCGCUAGUAAUCGCGGAUCAGAAUGCCGCGGUGAAUACGUUCCCGGGCCUUGUACACACCGCCCGUCACACCAUGGGAGUUUGUUGCACCAGAAGUAGGUAGUCUAACCGUAAGGAGGACGCUUACCACGGUGUGGCCGAUGACUGGGGUGAAGUCGUAACAAGGUAGCCGUAGGGGAACCUGCGGCUGGAUCAC